GGAGUAGUACUCAAGUUGGCCGAAGAGGUGCCCCUGCUAAGGGUAUAGGGCGGGAAACUGUCGCGAGAGUUCGAAUCUCUCCUACUCCGCCA
RNAcentral lists this transfer RNA (92 nucleotides) under Bacilli bacterium. RNAcentral's name for it is "tRNA-Ser". It matches the Rfam family "tRNA". Rfam says of the family: Transfer RNA (tRNA) molecules are approximately 80 nucleotides in length. Their secondary structure includes four short double-helical elements and three loops (D, anti-codon, and T loops). The record is from RNAcentral. Lineage: Bacteria; Bacillati; Bacillota; Bacilli.